RNAcentral lists this unclassified non-coding RNA (406 nucleotides) under Hevea brasiliensis (rubber tree). The record is from RNAcentral. Lineage: Eukaryota; Viridiplantae; Streptophyta; Magnoliopsida; Malpighiales; Euphorbiaceae.
CUCCGUCAAUGUUGGCUCAGCUUGCGCUUCUUUGCCAAUUUUCUCUGCUGCUCCCGCCGCUCCUCUUCCUCUAUCAGGCGGAGUUGCUCCUCAUCCUCCUCCUUUGCUAUUUUUGCACUUCUCCUCUCUUCCCUCAUGAUAUCAUCAAAGUUUGCCUCCAUCAUACUAUCAUCAUCUUCGUCAUCAUAGCGAUCAGCAUACCUUCUUGUAUUGAACAUUUGCCUAAUAAUAUCAAGAGCCUUUGUAUCCUCAUCUUCAUCAUCAAAGAAUGGUCUGGCAGGCUUUUUCUUGGGAUGAUUAUUUUGCAAUGAUGCAUGGGAUGAAAUCUGCUUGAAUGGUCUAUUUAUCUGAGGUUUUGAAGAGGCCACUGGCUUAUUUGGCAUAACUACAUUCUUCUUGGGUUGUG